AGGGAAUAGAUACCCGGGUAGUCCACGCCGUAAACGAUGCAUGCUAGCUGUGAGAGGCUCGACCCUUUUCGUAGCGAAAGCUAACGCGUUAAGCAUGCCGCCUGGGGAGUACGGUCGCAAGAUUAAAACUCAAAGGAAUUGACGGGGACCCGCACAAGCGGUGGAGCGUGUUGUUUAAUUCGAGGAUAAGCGAAGAACCUUACCAAGAUUUGACAUCCCACUAAUCAUCCCGAAAGGGAAGAGUAUCUUCGGAUAGGUGGUGACAGGUGCUGCAUGGCCGUCGUCAGCUCGUGUCGUGAGACGUUAGGUUAAGUCCUAUAACGAGCGCAACCCUUAUGAAUAGUUGGAUUUUUCAUUCAGACUGCCCUGGUAACAGGGAGGAAGGAGGGGUCGAAGUCAGGUCAGUAUUGCCCUUACAUCUUGGGCUACAAACACGCUACAAUGGCCGGUACAAAGGGCAGCCAACCCGCGAGGGGAGCAAAUCCCAUCAAAGCCGGUCUCAGUUCGGAUUGCAGGCUGAAACUCGCCUGCAUGAAGCUGGAA
Molecule: ribosomal RNA, 543 nt
Filed under: uncultured bacterium
Lineage: Bacteria
Description: bacterial SSU rRNA
Rfam family: Bacterial small subunit ribosomal RNA
Source: RNAcentral